GGGUUUGUAGCUCAGUGGUAGAGCCCUUACCUCGCACGUAUGAGGCACAGGAUCAAUCCUCAGCACCA
This 68-nucleotide transfer RNA is filed under the name Ictidomys tridecemlineatus (thirteen-lined ground squirrel). RNAcentral's name for it is "Spermophilus tridecemlineatus (thirteen-lined ground squirrel) tRNA". It matches the Rfam family "tRNA". Rfam says of the family: Transfer RNA (tRNA) molecules are approximately 80 nucleotides in length. The record is from Rfam by way of RNAcentral. Lineage: Eukaryota; Metazoa; Chordata; Mammalia; Rodentia; Sciuridae. RNAcentral also lists the same sequence under 1 other name.